UUAUACCGUAGCUUGCUACACCAUAAACUGUGAGUUGCGAACGGGUGAGUAACGCGUAGGUAACCUGCCUGGUAGCGGGGGAUAACUAUUGGAAACGAUAGCUAAUACCGCAUAAUAUUGAUUAUUGCAUGAUAAUUGAUUGAAAGAUGCUAUUGCAUCACUACCAGAUGGACCUGCGUUGUAUUAGCUAGUAGGUGAGGUAACGGCUCACCUAGGCGACGAUACAUAGCCGACCUGAGAGGGUGAUCGGCCACACUGGGACUGAGACACGGCCCAGACUCCUACGGGAGGCAGCAGUAGGGAAUCUUCGGCAAUGGACGAAAGUCUGACCGAGCAACGCCGCGUGAGUGAAGAAGGUUUUCGGAUCGUAAAGCUCUGUUGUAAGAGAAGAACGGGUGUGAGAGUGGAAAGUUCACACUGUGACGGUAUCUUACCAGAAAGGGACGGCUAACUACGUGCCAGCAGCCGCGGUAAUACGUAGGUCCCGAGCGUUGUCCGGAUUUAUUGGGCGUAAAGCGAGCGCAGGCGGUUAGAUAAGUCUGAAGUUAAAGGCUGUGGCUUAACCAUAGUACGCUUUGGAAACUGUUUAACUUGAGUGCAGAAGGGGAGAGUGGAAUUCCAUGUGUAGCGGUGAAAUGCGUAGAUAUAUGGAGGAACACCGGUGGCGAAAGCGGCUCUCUGGUCUGUAACUGACGCUGAGGCUCGAAAGCGUGGGGAGCGAACAGGAUUAGAUACCCUGGUAGUCCACGCCGUAAACGAUGAGUGCUAGGUGUUAGGCCCUUUCCGGGGCUUAGUGCCGCAGCUAACGCAUUAAGCACUCCGCCUGGGGAGUACGACCGCAAGGUUGAAACUCAAAGGAAUUGACGGGGGCCCGCACAAGCGGUGGAGCAUGUGGUUUAAUUCGAAGCAACGCGAAGAACCUUACCAGGUCUUGACAUCCCGAUGCCCGCUCUAGAGAUAGAGUUUUACUUCGGUACAUCGGUGACAGGUGGUGCAUGGUUGUCGUCAGCUCGUGUCGUGAGAUGUUGGGUUAAGUCCCGCAACGAGCGCAACCCUUAUUGUUAGUUGCCAUCAUUCAGUUGGGCACUCUAGCGAGACUGCCGGUAAUAAACCGGAGGAAGGUGGGGAUGACGUCAAAUCAUCAUGCCCCUUAUGACCUGGGCUACACACGUGCUACAAUGGCUGGUACAACGAGUCGCAAGUCGGUGACGGCAAGCUAAUCUCUUAAAGCCAGUCUCAGUUCGGAUUGUAGGCUGCAACUCGCCUACAUGAAGUCGGAAUCGCUAGUAAUCGCGGAUCAGCACGCCGCGGUGAAUACGUUCCCGGGCCUUGUACACACCGCCCGUCACACCACGAGAGUUUGUAACACCCGAAGUCGGUGAGGUAACCUUUUAGGAGCCAGCCGCCUAAG
RNAcentral lists this ribosomal RNA (1411 nucleotides) under Streptococcus gordonii. RNAcentral's name for it is "bacterial SSU rRNA". It matches the Rfam family "Bacterial small subunit ribosomal RNA". Lineage: Bacteria; Bacillati; Bacillota; Bacilli; Lactobacillales; Streptococcaceae. The record is from RNAcentral.